This 226-nucleotide ribosomal RNA is filed under the name uncultured bacterium. RNAcentral's name for it is "partial 16S ribosomal RNA". It matches the Rfam family "Bacterial small subunit ribosomal RNA", at positions 524 to 748 of the family's 1533-position model. The record is from RNAcentral.
UACGUAGGAGACGAGCGUUGUCCGGAGUUACUGGGCGUAAAGGGUGCGUAGGCGGUCCUAUAAGUAUGGUGUGAAAUCUCCCGGCUUAACUGGGAGGGUGCGCUAUAGACUGUGGGACUAGAGUGUGGGAGAGGAAAGUGGAAUUCCUGGUGUAGCGGUGAAAUGCGCAGAUAUCAGGAGGAACACCGGUGGCGAAGGCGGGACUCUGGGCCGGAUACUGACGCUG